CAGUCGCCGCGGGAAUACGUAGGUCCCGAGCGUUGUCCGGAUUUAUUGGGCGUAAAGGGAGCGCAGGCGGUUUAGUAAGUCUGAAGUUAAAGGCAUUGGCUCAACCAAUGUAUGCUUUGGAAACUGUUAGACUUGAGUGCAGAAGGGGAGAGUGGAAUUCCAUGUGUAGCGGUGAAAUGCGUAGAUAUAUGGAGGAACACCGGUGGCGAGAGCGGCUCUCUGGUCUGUCACUGACGCUGAGGCUCGAAAGCGUGGGUAGCGAACAGGAUUAGAGACCCCUGUAGUCCCUGUCUCUUAUACA
This 301-nucleotide ribosomal RNA is filed under the name uncultured bacterium. Its description in RNAcentral is "partial 16S ribosomal RNA". It matches the Rfam family "Bacterial small subunit ribosomal RNA", at positions 509 to 808 of the family's 1533-position model. The record is from RNAcentral.